CCUACGGGAGGCAGCAGUGGGGAAUAUUGCACAAUGGGGGGAACCCUGAUGCAGCGACGCCGCGUGGGUGAGGAAGUCCUUCGGUAUGUAAAGCCCUAUCAGCAGGGAAGAAAAUGACGGUACCUGACUAAGAAGCCCCGGCUAACUACGUGCCAGCAGCCGCGGUAAUACGGAGGGGGAAAGCGUUAUCCGGCUGUACUGGGUGUAAAGGGAGCGUAGACGGCGGGCGAAGUCUGGUGUGAAAGGCCGGGGCUCAACCCCGGGACUGCAUUGGAUACUGGCAUGCUGGAGUGCAGGAGGGGCAAGCGGAAUUCCUAGUGUAGCGGUGAAAUGCGUAGAUAUUAGGAGGAACACCGGUGGCGAAGGCGGCUUGCUGGACGGUAACUGACGUUGAGGCUCGAAAGCGUGGGGAGCAAACAGGAUUAGAUACCCCUGUAGUC
RNAcentral lists this ribosomal RNA (440 nucleotides) under uncultured bacterium. RNAcentral describes it as "partial 16S ribosomal RNA". It matches the Rfam family "Bacterial small subunit ribosomal RNA", at positions 338 to 795 of the family's 1533-position model. The record is from RNAcentral.